GAGUUUGAUCAUGGCUCAGGAUGAACGCUGGCGGCAGGCCUAACACAUGCAAGUCGAGCGGAUGAGAGGAGCUUGCUCCUUGAUUCAGCGGCGGACGGGUGAGUAAUGCCUAGGAAUCUGCCUGAUAGUGGGGGACAACGUUUCGAAAGGAACGCUAAUACCGCAUACGUCCUACGGGAGAAAGCAGGGGACCUUCGGGCCUUGCGCUAUCAGAUGAGCCUAGGUCGGAUUAGCUAGUAGGUGAGGUAAUGGCUCACCUAGGCGACGAUCCGUAACUGGUCUGAGAGGAUGAUCAGCCACACUGGGACUGAGACACGGCCCAGACUCCUACGGGAGGCAGCAGUGGGGAAUAUUGGACAAUGGGCGAAAGCCUGAUCCAGCAAUGCCGCGUGAGUGAUGAAGGCCUUAGGGUUGU
RNAcentral lists this ribosomal RNA (415 nucleotides) under uncultured Gammaproteobacteria bacterium. RNAcentral's name for it is "bacterial SSU rRNA". It matches the Rfam family "Bacterial small subunit ribosomal RNA", at positions 9 to 426 of the family's 1533-position model. Lineage: Bacteria; Pseudomonadati; Pseudomonadota; Gammaproteobacteria. The record is from RNAcentral.